GGACAGCGGGUACGGCCCAAAUACACACACUCAUCUGCACCUGCUCCAUAUCUCUCUGUGGUUUCAUCGACCACGAAGUGAGCUCAGUUCCUCCGUCUGGCUCGCCCGUCGACGGCUCAGAUUAAACCAAUCGCUCUGUCUCCCUACAAAGUGAAUCACUGACCCCCUCUCUCUCUCUGAGCAAUGGCUUCGUCUCUGAGUACUACAGCUUCAGCUUCGGCUUCAGCUGUGAGCAAAGCCACAGCCACUUUGCCUCGUUUCAACAACAAUUACACUCUCUCUAAGCUUUCAUUUCCUCUUAAUCCUAAGCCCAACUUCUGGCCUUUAACCCAGGGCUUAAAAUGCAGUCAGAACCAUUCCACCGUGGUAAAAGCCCAAAUGAAUGAGGUUGGUGUUGAUGGCUCCUCAAAUGCUGCUGCUACUCCCCCAACCAAGUCGGAGGCAGUGGCACCAGAAACAAAGGCUGCCAAACCAUCAAAUGACCCUUCUUCUGGAGCUUUGGCAGCAGAGGAAUCAAUCUCUGAGUUCAUUGCUCAAGUUUCAAGUCUUGUUAAGCUUGUUGAUUCUAGAGAUAUAGUGGAGUUGCAGUUAAAACAGCUUGACUGUGAAGUUCUAAUCCGCAAAAAGGAGGCCUUACCUCAACCACCUCCUCCUGCUCCAGUUGCUUGGAUGAAUUCGCACGCUCAAUCAGGGGCUCCACCAGCCCAACCUGUGCCUGCACCUGUACCUGCACCUGUACCUGCACCUGCAUCUGUGGCUCCUACGCCAUCAACUUCUCCUUCUGCUGUCAAGUCAGCCAAGUCAUCACUUCCACCUCUUAAAUGCCCCAUGGCAGGGACAUUCUACCGAAGUCCAGCUCCUGGUGAACCAGUGUUUGUGAAGGUUGGAGACAAGGUACAGAAGGGGCAGGUCUUAUGCAUCAUUGAGGCCAUGAAAUUGAUGAAUGAGAUAGAAGAGAUGGCUAGGGCUUGGCACCUCCCUUGCAGGGGCCUGUUUCAGGAACUGCCUACCCAUCCACGGGGGGCAGAGACCGGCCGUAUCCACCUCUAGUAGAUGGGCUGAUCAAUCGGGAACCAUAGUCGACAUCCUUGCAGAAGAUGGCAAGCCUGUCAGUAUUGACAUGCCUCUGUUUGUAAUCGAACCUUAGGGCUUGGCCGUCAAGUAUGCAAAUAGAUGGAGUAAAUGGUGUGAUUAGAAAGAGGUGCAGUUGGUAACAUUGUGAGAUGCGGCAUUAUUUCAUUUUGGUAGAAUGUUUUGUUUGAGAUGAGAUGUGACUAGAGUUUGAGAGUGAUUUAAAUUGUUUUAAAUGAAUAUAUUUUAUUUUUUAUUAUUUCAAACUUUUUUCACUAGAGCAGAGAUUUUCCCUGUCCAGGCUUUGGACGAUGUUGUUUUAAUAAACACUAGUUGUUUUAAGUGCUGUGUUCAAGAAGCUUUUAUAGGUGCUGAA
Molecule: RNA transcript, 1447 nt
Organism: Alnus glutinosa
Lineage: Eukaryota; Viridiplantae; Streptophyta; Magnoliopsida; Fagales; Betulaceae
Gene name: biotin carboxyl carrier protein of acetyl-CoA carboxylase, chloroplastic
Exons: 8
Source: RefSeq, a predicted model, not a curated record